AAAGAGAAGAGUGGUUCAAGUCCGUACGCUAUAGCCAAAUACAUGGAAGAGAAGCACAAGGCGGUGCUUCCAGCGAAUUUCAGGAAAAUCUUAGGUCUUCAGCUUAAAAACUCAGCUGCCAGAGGCAAGCUGAUAAAGAUCAAGGCCUCUUACAAGCUCUCCGAAGCCGGCAAAAAAGAGAAAGCCCCUGUUACAAAAGCUAAGACAGAGAAGAAAGCUAAGCCAGCUUCGAAGCCGAAGAAAGCUGAGGCUACAAAGAAGCCAACAAAGAGAGUCGGGGCCAAGAAGAAAUCAACUCCAGCAAAGGCGAAGCAGCCUAAAUCUAUCAAGUCACCUGCGGCUAAAAAGGCCAAGAAGGCCGCUGCUUAGAACAAAUGUGUA
This 381-nucleotide long non-coding RNA is filed under the name Gossypium barbadense (sea-island cotton). Its description in RNAcentral is "long non-coding RNA (GBAR_LNC020745)". Lineage: Eukaryota; Viridiplantae; Streptophyta; Magnoliopsida; Malvales; Malvaceae. The record is from RNAcentral.